AGAGUUUGAUCCUGGCUCAGGAUGAACGCUAGCGACAGGCUUAACACAUGCAAGUCGAGGGGCAGCAGGGGAGUAGCAAUACUCCCGCUGGCGACCGGCGCACGGGUGAGUAACACGUAUGCAACCUGCCCUUGUCAGGGGGAUAAGCGGAAGAAAUUCCGUCUAAUACCGCAUAAUGCUGCGGGGAGACAUCUCCCUGCAGCCAAAGAUUUAUCGGACAAGGAUGGGCAUGCGGCGCAUUAGCUGGUUGGCGGGGUAACGGCCCACCAAGGCGACGAUGCGUAGGGGUUCUGAGAGGAAGGUCCCCCACACUGGUACUGAGACACGGACCAGACUCCUACGGGAGGCAGCAGUGAGGAAUAUUGGUCAAUGGCCGGGAGGCUGAACCAGCCAAGUCGCGUGAGGGAAGACGGUCCUAUGGAUUGUAAACCUCUUUUGUCAGGGAGCAAAAACUGCCACGCGUGGCAGGAUGAGAGUACCUGAAGAAAAAGCAUCGGCUAACUCCGUGCCAGCAGCCGCGGUAAUACGGAGGAUGCGAGCGUUAUCCGGAUUUAUUGGGUUUAAAGGGUGCGUAGGCGGACAGUUAAGUCAGCGGUAAAAUUGAGAGGCUCAACCUCUUCCCGCCGUUGAAACUGAUUGUCUUGAGUGGGCGAGAAGUAUGCGGAAUGCGUGGUGUAGCGGUGAAAUGCAUAGAUAUCACGCAGAACUCCGAUUGCGAAGGCAGCAUACCGGCGCCCAACUGACGCUGAAGCACGAAAGCGUGGGUAUCGAACAGGAUUAGAUACCCUGGUAGUCCACGCAGUAAACGAUGAAUACUAAUUGUUCGGGUCAAAUGAGAUCUGAGUGAUACAGCGAAAGCGUUAAGUAUUCCACCUGGGGAGUACGCCGGCAACGGUGAAACUCAAAGGAAUUGACGGGGGCCCGCACAAGCGGAGGAACAUGUGGUUUAAUUCGAUGAUACGCGAGGAACCUUACCCGGGCUCAAACGACGGAUGAAUACUUUUGAAAGGAGGUAGUCCUUCGGGACAUCCGUCGAGGUGCUGCAUGGUUGUCGUCAGCUCGUGCCGUGAGGUGUCGGCUUAAGUGCCAUAACGAGCGCAACCCCCAUCGCCAGUUGCCAACAGGUAAAGCUGGGAACUCUGGCGAGACUGCCGGCGCAAGCUGUGAGGAAGGCGGGGAUGACGUCAAAUCAGCACGGCCCUUACGUCCGGGGCGACACACGUGUUACAAUGGCAGGUACAGAGAGAUGCGACACGGCGACGUGGAGCGGAACUGUCAAAACCUGUCUCAGUUCGGAUCGGAGUCUGCAACCCGACUCCGUGAAGCUGGAUUCGCUAGUAAUCGCGCAUCAGCCAUGGCGCGGUGAAUACGUUCCCGGGCCUUGCACACACCGCCCGUCAAG
RNAcentral lists this ribosomal RNA (1402 nucleotides) under uncultured bacterium. Its description in RNAcentral is "bacterial SSU rRNA". It matches the Rfam family "Bacterial small subunit ribosomal RNA". The record is from RNAcentral.